UACGUAGGUGGCAAGCGUUACUCGGAAUCACUAGGCGUAAAGCGCAGGUAGGCGGUUGGGUAAGUCUGUUGUGAAAGCUCCUGGCUUAACUGGGAGAGGUCAACGGAAACUACCUGGCUAGAGUGUGGUAGAGGGUGCUGGAAUUCCCGGUGUAGCGGUGAAAUGCGUAGAGAUCGGGAGGAACACCUGUGGCGAAAGCGGCGCACUGGACCAUAACUGACGCUGAUGCGCGAAAGCUAGGGGAGCAAACAGG
Molecule: ribosomal RNA, 253 nt
Filed under: uncultured prokaryote
Description: partial 16S ribosomal RNA
Rfam family: Bacterial small subunit ribosomal RNA
Source: RNAcentral